Molecule: transfer RNA, 87 nt
Filed under: Endomicrobium sp.
Lineage: Bacteria; Pseudomonadati; Elusimicrobiota; Endomicrobiia; Endomicrobiales; Endomicrobiaceae
Description: tRNA-Ser
Rfam family: tRNA
About the family: Transfer RNA (tRNA) molecules are approximately 80 nucleotides in length. Their secondary structure includes four short double-helical elements and three loops (D, anti-codon, and T loops). Further hydrogen bonds mediate the characteristic L-shaped molecular structure. tRNAs have two regions of fundamental functional importance: the anti-codon, which is responsible for specific mRNA codon recognition, and the 3' end, to which the tRNAs corresponding amino acid is attached (by aminoacyl-tRNA synthetases). tRNAs cope with the degeneracy of the genetic code in two manners: having more than one tRNA (with a specific anti-codon) for a particular amino acid; and 'wobble' base-pairing, i.e. permitting non-standard base-pairing at the 3rd anti-codon position.
Source: RNAcentral
GGAGAGAUGGCCGAGCGGUUUAAGGCGGUAGUCUUGAAAACUACUAUAGUGGCAACACUAUCGGGGGUUCAAAUCCCUCUCUCUCCG